RNAcentral lists this unclassified non-coding RNA (4443 nucleotides) under Hevea brasiliensis (rubber tree). The record is from RNAcentral. Lineage: Eukaryota; Viridiplantae; Streptophyta; Magnoliopsida; Malpighiales; Euphorbiaceae.
AAAAAAAGAAAGAAAGCAACGGAAACAUUUUCUCAAUAUACCUGAAGGAGGAAGGAGAAAAGAAAAAUGCACAGGUGAAUCUCUGUUCCGUAUUUCUAUAUUUGAAAUCCAUAUGCAAUUACUAGUUUGGAUUAAAUUCACCAAAUCUAUGCUUUUCUUCAUGCAACUGUCUGAAGACGUAAUCCAGUUCUGGAAAUGCAGACAAAAGCAGCAGCUCGAGAAGAUCAAAAGCCAGUUGCUUUAAACAGACUGAUGACUGAAGAAAGAAAUAAAGAUCUUUAGCACAUUGUUCAUACUCCUUCCGACCAACAAGACUUACAAUGGCAGCUGGUGCAUUAUCAAUCAUCAGCUCAUAUACAAAUUUAGCACGUCGGUCUGCUUCAUGUUUUAGUUGCUCAUCACUUAGUCUAGGUGAAGAUAUUUCUGUGUGUUGCCGACCUAGAGGUGAACUUAGUUUAGGUGAAGACUCAUUGAUGGGUUGCUGGCCAUGAGGUGAGCUAUGGGAUGAGUUGGAGGUGGAUGGUGGCCGUCUCUUUGGAUGUUUGGUAAUGAAUAUCCCAUCAGGCCAAAGUAUCUGUUCCACCCGCUUGAUCCCUGAAGCAACCACUGAACCAGUACGCAGAAGCUGGAUUUUCUCUAUCAACCAAUCAUCUAAGGCAUCACCCAUUCCUAGUUGUAGAAUCUGUUUGGCCACCCAGAAAGCUUUCCUCCUGUAUUGCACAGAAAAUUAGUGUUUAGCAGCUCGUCCAUCAUUGGACCUGAUUUGGUUCAUACGAUAGUCAACAAUUAAUCAAAGAGAAAAUAUCACAUUUACAAGAACACAUUCUUAUAUACGGAGUACCUUAUCCAUCCACCAUCUUGUAGCAAGAAAAUGACAUCUACCAAGUCUAAUAUAGGGGCAGUUAUAUUUGGCGGUACCCACUCUGUAGGAAGGGUAAGAUCACUAGCAGUAUCAUGAAUCAACUCAGAUGUCUGCCCUAAACCAUCAGUCUGUCUUCCUUUUACAAUCUUCCCGAAAUUACUAACAGACACAUUUUUUUGAGUAUCUGAAUCACUGCCUGAAUCCUUUAAUGACUUUCCAUGUUCUUUACCAAGCUUUUUACCCGGAGAAUGAGAUGUGUAUUUUGGACUCAUCUUUACCCCAUCUGUGACAACAUUAUGUUUUGUCUGUAAUGAAGAAUCCUUGUUGUCCGUGCCUAACUGUUCCCUCUUUGCGGAUAUAGAAUUGAUUACAGGUCCAACAAAAUUUGAAACCACCUUAUUCUUUUCAGAUGGCUUGCCAUCAAGGUCAACUGACAAUGUCUCAACGAUGGAAAAGGAAUUUGAGAAAUAAUAUGUCUGAGAAUCAACACUAAGAAAGUCCCAAACUUCAAUAGAUCCUGAAAUUGUAGGAAGUUGCAAGAGCUUCUGAGAAACAAAGACAUGAAAAGGUUAUUAAAACUCUUAGUUAGGUGCACUCAUACCUAGUGAUCAUAGAAUACUCACAUGCCCAAUCCAGUACAGCACACAAGCCAAAGUCAAAUUAUUUAACUAAACCUUAAUAAUAAACGUGCUUCAAUGAGCAUAUUUUCUGCAGAAUUGGGUAUUGCUACUACUCCAGUCAACAGUCAACACCACAUGAAACUGUUACAACUUACAUGUGACAUUGCAUCAGGAAAUUAACCAAAUAAGAAUUCAGGGAUGAAACCUGAGGUAUUCUGAAUUUCUAGCAUAUCUUGGAGCUAAAAUUUACAUCUAAUUCCAUCAAUAAAAGCAGGUAAAAUUAAAUGGUUAACCUUGAGAUAUAUAUCGAGCAAUUUACACCGUUCUUGAAUGACAGGCAUAUCUAAACCUGUUGACAAAAAAUGCUUUGGUGGCAAAUGAAGAUUAUACUCUGGAUACUCUUUUAGACGCCGGUGCAACUCCUCAAAAUGUCGAAACCUUCUUUUGAUUGACCAACUAUUAUUAUUUACAUCUGUAACAGAAAUGGAAUACACAGCAAAUGUUCUAGAGGCACUCUUCACAAUAUUUGCACCCAACACCUCACAUCUCAACUUAAAAAAUGAAUCCACCAUCAAUGAAUUUUUCAAGGAAUUAACAGCUGAACCAUGAUUUUCAGAUAUAGAAGCAGAAGGUGUAGAUGAACAAGCAGUUGCUUCACCGUAAGCUCUAUCUAAACCUUCAACCUCAGAAUCAUCACUAGAUUCAUCACCUUUAGUAUGUCCUUUUGAACUCAGUAUAUCCUGUCCAUCCCCACACAAGAAGCUUGUCCUCUCAAUCUCUUGCCAAACAUGCACCUUCUGAGUGUUUGAUCUCGACCUCUUCCUGCCAGUCUCUGUUCUAGAUAAUCUUUCAUAAGGAGCCUGUCCUCUACUAGUCUUCUUUGUAGCAUGGCGUCCAAGGUUUUCAAGUGGAUGAUGAAUGGGGGAAACAGCCAAAUUUCUAUUUGUUUUACGAUCCCAAACUUUAGUUCCUGGAUCAUCAAGGCCUGUGAUACUGCUUGGAUCUUCCUCUUCAGAUGUAUAAGGACUAACACUUCCUGAUUCAUCCUCAUUCACAUGCAUAAGGCCUUGCUCAUCAUUUUCAUGAUGUGAAGUAUAUAAAGAAUGAUUUGACAAGUUCUGAUCAUGGUAUGAGUUUUGUACUGUAGACUGAUUAGAAUGCAGAGAGGAAUCAAGUAUGGUCACCCCAUGCUUUUCCUUGAGUUUAGGCAUCUUUGAUUGGUCCCCUGUAGCGGACUUAUUCACAGAAGAAUUUUGUGGUACUUGCUCAAUUACCCGACCUUUACCUUCUUUCUUUUGGUAGUUUCUUCCUUUUGUCCACAUAUUGUCAAAAUUUUCAGGUGCAAGGGCUGCAGUCUUUCUGCGAGAAAAUCUGUCCAACAUAUCACCCCAUUCUCCUCCAGAACGAUACCGCUGAAGCCCUCCUUCAUCCUUAAUUUGGGAAUUCAAAGGUAGUGAACUCCAUGAACGGGAAGAUCGAGUAUCAAUAGAAAGCAAAGGAUCUUUCGAGAUAUGGGUUCCAUUCACAUUAUCUGACUCAGGUGCAACUGCUCGACUUUUGGAUUGAUCAGUUUUUAACUGCACAAGUUCAACACCAGUACCAGUAGGAUCUAGAAAUCUGGAAAAUUGAUCAGAUGAGAUCUUUGAAGAUCCAUUGGGUUUGGAUUGUGAUGCCUCUUGUGCUGCAGCAACUCCUUUAUUAGCCUUAGAAAUGACCAAAUUUUCAAUCCUUUCAUUUAUAAACCUUGGACUAGCUAAGUUUAAGACUGGUCGCAUUACUGCACAAGCAAGAAGUUCCCUCACUAUAUAACGGAAAAAAGAGCACUUUAGAUCUUCUGCAUUGAAUGUGAAAGAAAUGAGACCAUCCAUCAGAUGCUGCAAAACCUUGUGCUCUGCUUCAGCAGAAAAUAAAGCAGGGUGCAAUCUGUUCUCAGCAGCCAGGACACGUCGCAGUUCCUUGUCUCGCUGUUCAAUAGACACCAAUCCAGACAGAUGCUUUUCAAUUUUUGCUUGACUAGCUCGAAAAAGCUCUAAGUGAACGCAGAUGACAUUAAUAAGAUCCCUAGUCAAUAGAUCAAUAAGAUUUAUAUUUCUCAUGCGAGUUGAAAAUUCCCCAAGAACACCAUUCACUAUCCGCACCAGUUCCUCUGGACCUUCUCUAUCAGGUGUUAGACGAGAGUACCAUAGAUCUGUCACCCAUUCAGAGACUAAAUGUCUAGUGAAGUGAUCAAUUGCAUCCUCAACAACAGGGGAAUUCACUUUUCUUCUCCAGUCAGACUUUUCAAGAACCCUAGUAUGUUCAGGAUUGUUGUUUUGGGACAACACAUUUGCCGCAGAAUAUUUGCUGUUGUAUACAGCAGCUUUCCUCCGCAUUUCAUAAUCUAGGGAGAAGUAACGGAGGAGAAUUAUUAAGGAGGCAGCAGCAGGCAAGUUGACCCAAACUGAGGAGCUUGUCAAUGACAUUAAAUAAGAUAAUCCAACAACGCAAAUAACCAAAAACACAAUCCUCUUCUUUGCUUCCUCCACUAGGUCUCUAACUGCCACCUCCCUUUGCGUGCUCAUUUUCGCAUUCACUGAGCUAAACAAAAUCUAUUCGAUUCUUCCCAAAACAAACCCCAACAAAAAAUAUUAACAAAUCAUAAUCCAAAUCUGAACACAGCUCUACGAGCGAUCGCCAUAAAAAUGAUCUUAAAAACCAGAUCAAUGAACGUGAAGCAAACAAAAGAAUUAGGGUAAAAUUGGGAAGAGCAGAAAGGGAAAUCGAUAGUCGGAUAGAGAUAAAACGUGGAGAAUCGGAUAAAAGAACUGAACAAUUGAGGGAGGAUGAGAAUUAGAAUUCAACGCGAGGACCGUUAGGUUUUUUUUGCUGUUGGCGUGCGUACUAGAGAGAGUCUACAUUUCUAAAACUUCUUAAUUUUCUCCUCUCUCUCUAAGAGCCUCUGUGUCACUUUCUGGCUUUCUU